Molecule: long non-coding RNA, 850 nt
Filed under: Physcomitrium patens
Lineage: Eukaryota; Viridiplantae; Streptophyta; Bryopsida; Funariales; Funariaceae
Description: long non-coding RNA (PPAT_LNC014226)
Source: RNAcentral
GUUGCGUUCAAGCUUCGAUAUAUCAAAGCAAUUAAACUAAUAGAGGUGGAUUCAAAUACGGAGAAAGACUGAUUAUAUGAAUUGGAUCUAUUAGUGUCACAAUUGACUGUACUCUAGCUAUCUAAAAUCAAUUAUCAAACUACAAAACACCAAGGCUUACUACUUCUAUCUUAAUUCAACACAUAAUCCAUUCUAUGAGUAUCAAUUCAACAAUACUUCUCUCAAUCAAAAUUCUUCAUAAGCAAAUAAUAAAAGCAAAGAAAACAAAGAGGUAGCACCAAGCUUACCUUAGCUUAUGACUCUCACAAUCUAGCUUUGAUCUUUCUUUCCUCAACCUAUUUAUCCUACCAAAAAGAUGAUCCAUUGGCCAACAGAUUCCAAAGGUUAUCAUCCUUUGAAUUCUUAACCAUUUGUUCCACUAACAUCCUAUUGUUACCAACUAAACUACCUAACCAUAAGUCUAAUUCUCAAGGUUAUCAAUAACCAACCAGUAACUUACCACAAAAUUUAUUUACUUAUUCUGCAUAGCUCCACUGCUAAUUAUGCAGCGUCCUCACAAACAUCAUUUAGCCUCAACUUAUAAAGACGUAGCAGCGUAUAUCUCCAAAGGUGUUGUUGCUAAAACUAGCGUAUUGGUCCGCAUUAAAUUAUUGGCCUCCUUCGCUAAUGCGGCUAGUUCAGUCUGCAACAUCGCAACCUCUACCUGUAGUCGUUCUUGUCGUUCUUUCCAAUCAAUCUCCAUCCUCACUUUCUCAGACAUCAUGUUCGUCAUCUUUUCCUUAACCACAAAAGAAAACAUGAUGCUUAUCAAGAGUCCCCCUCCUACUUCUUAUUAUGAUCCAAUCAAUUG